UGAGGGAUAUUGCGCAAUGGAGGCAACUCUGACGCAGCGACGCCGCGUGGGCGAAGAAGGUCUUCGGAUCGUAAAGCCCUUUUCUAUGUGACGAGCAAGGACGGUAGCAUAGGAACAAGUCUCGGCUAACUACGUGCCAGCAGCCGCGGUAAAACGUAGGAGGCGAGCGUUAUCGGGAGUUACUGGGCGUAAAGCGCGUGCAGGCGGCUGUGGAGGUCGGAUGUGAAAGCUCCCAGGCUAAACCGGGAGAGGUCAUUCGAAACCCUGCAGCUAGAGGGUGACAGAGGCGUGUGGAAUUCCGGGUGUAGUGGUGAAAUGCGCAGAUAUCCGGAAGAACACCAGUGGCGAAGGCGACACGCUAGGUCACCGCUGACGCUGAGACGCGAAAGCAUGGGUAGCGAACGGGAUUAGAGACCCCGGUAGUCCAUGCCGUAAACGAUGCACACUAGAUGUUCGCUGCCGGAAACGGCGGUGAGUGUCGAAGUCAACACGCUAAGUGUGCCGCCUGAGGAGUACGGUCGCAAGGCUA
Molecule: ribosomal RNA, 529 nt
Filed under: uncultured bacterium
Lineage: Bacteria
Description: bacterial SSU rRNA
Rfam family: Bacterial small subunit ribosomal RNA
Source: RNAcentral